This 253-nucleotide ribosomal RNA is filed under the name uncultured bacterium. RNAcentral describes it as "partial 16S ribosomal RNA". It matches the Rfam family "Bacterial small subunit ribosomal RNA", at positions 524 to 776 of the family's 1533-position model. The record is from RNAcentral.
GACAGAGGGUGCAAACGUUGUUCGGAAUUACUGGGCGUAAAGCGCGCGUAGGCGGCUCGGAAAGUCGGUCGUGAAAUGCCGGGGCUCAACCCCGGGACUGCGUCCGAUACUGCGGUGCUUGAGGACUGGAGAGGAGACUGGAAUUCAUGGUGUAGCAGUGAAAUGCGUAGAGAUCAUGAGGAAGACCAGUGGCGAAGGCGGGUCUCUGGACAGUUCCUGACACUGAGACACGAAGGCCAGGGGAGCAAACGGG